RNAcentral lists this ribosomal RNA (229 nucleotides) under Enterococcus faecium. Its description in RNAcentral is "partial 16S ribosomal RNA". It matches the Rfam family "Bacterial small subunit ribosomal RNA", at positions 1305 to 1533 of the family's 1533-position model. Lineage: Bacteria; Bacillati; Bacillota; Bacilli; Lactobacillales; Enterococcaceae. The record is from RNAcentral.
CUGCAACUCGCCUGCAUGAAGCCGGAAUCGCUAGUAAUCGCGGAUCAGCACGCCGCGGUGAAUACGUUCCCGGGCCUUGUACACACCGCCCGUCACACCACGAGAGUUUGUAACACCCGAAGUCGGUGAGGUAACCUUUUGGAGCCAGCCGCCUAAGGUGGGAUAGAUGAUUGGGGUGAAGUCGUAACAAGGUAGCCGUAUCGGAAGGUGCGGCUGGAUCACCUCCUUU